GACGAACGCUGGCGGCGUGCUUAACACAUGCAAGUCGAACGAGAAUCUACUGAAAGAGUUUUCGGACAAUGGAUGUAGAGGAAAGUGGCGGACGGGUGAGUAACGCGUGAGGAACCUGCCUUGAAGAGGGGGACAACAGUUGGAAACGACUGCUAAUACCGCAUGACGCAUAGAGGUCGCAUGAUCUUUAUGCCAAAGAUUUAUCGCUGAAAGAUGGCCUCGCGUCUGAUUAGCUAGUUGGCAGGGUAACGGCCUACCAAGGCGACGAUCAGUAGCCGACCUGAGAGGGUGACCGGCCACAUUGGGACUGAGACACGGGCCCAAACUCCUACGGAGGCAGCAGUGGGGAAUAUUGCACAAUGGGGGAAACCCUGAUGCAGCGACGCCGCGUGAGCGAAGAAGUAUUCGGUAUGUAAAGCUCUAUCAGCAGGGANAAGAAAUGACGGUACCUGACUAGAAGCACCGGCUAAAU
RNAcentral lists this ribosomal RNA (472 nucleotides) under uncultured bacterium. RNAcentral describes it as "bacterial SSU rRNA". It matches the Rfam family "Bacterial small subunit ribosomal RNA", at positions 28 to 502 of the family's 1533-position model. The record is from RNAcentral.